AACGCUAGCUACAGGCUUAACACAUGCAAGUCGAGGGGCAGCAUGGUCUUAGCUUGCUAAGGCCGAUGGCGACCGGCGCACGGGUGAGUAACACGUAUCCAACCUGCCGUCUACUCUUGGACAGCCUUCUGAAAGGAAGAUUAAUACAAGAUGGCAUCAUGAGUCCGCAUGUUCACAUGAUUAAAGGUAUUCCGGUAGACGAUGGGGAUGCGUUCCAUUAGAUAGUAGGCGGGGUAACGGCCCACCUAGUCUUCGAUGGAUAGGGGUUCUGAGAGGAAGGUCCCCCACAUUGGAACUGAGACACGGUCCAAACUCCUACGGGAGGCAGCAGUGAGGAAUAUUGGUCAAUGGGCGAGAGCCUGAACCAGCCAAGUAGCGUGAAGGAUGACUGCCCUAUGGGUUGUAAACUUCUUUUAUAAAGGAAUAAAGUCGGGUAUGGAUACCCGUUUGCAUGUACUUUAUGAAUAAGGAUCGGCUAACUCCGUGCCAGCAGCCGCGGUAAUACGGAGGAUCCGAGCGUUAUCCGGAUUUAUUGGGUUUAAAGGGAGCGUAGAUGGAUGUUUAAGUCAGUUGUGAAAGUUUGCGGCUCAACCGUAAAAUUGCAGUUGAUACUGGAUAUCUUGAGUGCAGUUGAGGCAGGCGGAAUUCGUGGUGUAGCGGUGAAAUGCUUAGAUAUCACGAAGAACUCCGAUUG
This 694-nucleotide ribosomal RNA is filed under the name uncultured bacterium. RNAcentral describes it as "bacterial SSU rRNA". It matches the Rfam family "Bacterial small subunit ribosomal RNA", at positions 32 to 715 of the family's 1533-position model. RNAcentral also lists the same sequence under 1 other name. The record is from RNAcentral.